GUGCCAGCAGCCGCGGUAAGACGUAGGAUGCAAGCGUUGUCCGGAAUUAUUGGGCGUAAAGAGUUCGUAGGCGGUUAAAUAAGUCUGGUGUUAAAUACUGGUGCUCAACGCCAGCAUGGCAUUGGAAACUGUUUAACUAGAGUGCGGUAGAGGUCACGGGAAUUCCUGGUGUAGCGGUGAAAUGCGUAGAUAUCAGGAGGAACACCGGUGGCGAAAGCGCGUGGCUGGGCCGUAACUGACGCUGAGGAACGAAAGCUAGGGUAGCAAAAGGGAUUAGAUACCCCUGUAGUCC
RNAcentral lists this ribosomal RNA (292 nucleotides) under uncultured bacterium. Its description in RNAcentral is "partial 16S ribosomal RNA". It matches the Rfam family "Bacterial small subunit ribosomal RNA", at positions 505 to 796 of the family's 1533-position model. The record is from RNAcentral.